Non-coding RNA from Cheilinus undulatus (humphead wrasse), 165 nucleotides. RefSeq annotates it as small Cajal body-specific RNA 1. Lineage: Eukaryota; Metazoa; Chordata; Actinopteri; Labriformes; Labridae. The record is from RefSeq and is a predicted model, not a curated record. The transcript has a single exon.
AUGCACCAGAUACUAGCCUGACAGCCCACUUGGUCUCAGAUGUUUCUCACACUGGGAUCGUCUAUGGCUGCAAGGUUACAAACGGUGCGAGAGCAGCAUCAGCCCUGAGAUUUAAGCUUUUCAGUUUGGAGCAGCACUGUGAAGUUAUGACUCAAAGGCACAGAA